Molecule: ribosomal RNA, 253 nt
Filed under: uncultured bacterium
Lineage: Bacteria
Description: partial 16S ribosomal RNA
Rfam family: Bacterial small subunit ribosomal RNA
Source: RNAcentral
UACGUAGGUGGCAAGCGUUAUCCGGAAUUAUUGGGCGUAAAGCGCGCGCAGGCGGUUUCUUAAGUCUGAUGUGAAAGCCCACGGCUCAACCGUGGAGGGUCAUUGGAAACUGGGGAACUUGAGUGCAGAAGAGAAAAGCGGAAUUCCACGUGUAGCGGUGAAAUGCGUAGAGAUGUGGAGGAACACCGGUGGCGAAGGCGCUCAUCUGGCCCAAUACUGACGCUGAAGCGCGAAAGCUAGGGGAGCAAACGGG